This 434-nucleotide ribosomal RNA is filed under the name uncultured bacterium. RNAcentral's name for it is "partial 16S ribosomal RNA". It matches the Rfam family "Bacterial small subunit ribosomal RNA", at positions 341 to 792 of the family's 1533-position model. The record is from RNAcentral.
ACGGGAGGCAGCAGUGGGGGAUAUUGCACAAUGGGGGAAACCCUGAUGCAGCGACGCCGCGUGAGUGAUGAAGUAUUUCGGUAUGUAAAGCUCUAUCAGCAGGGAAGAUAAUGACGGUACCUGACUAAGAAGCACCGGCUAAAUACGUGCCAGCAGCCGCGGUAAUACGUAGGGUGCAAGCGUUAUCCGGAUUUACUGGGUGUAAAGGGAGCGUAGACGGCAAGGCAAGCCAGAUGUGAAAGGCUGGGGCUCAACCCCGGGACUGCAUUUGGAACUGUCUAGCUAGAGUAUCGGAGAGGUAAGUGGAAUUCCUAGUGUAGCGGUGAAAUGCGUAGAUAUUAGGAGGAACACCAGUGGCGAAGGCGGCUUACUGGACGAUAACUGACGUUGAGGCUCGAAAGCGUGGGGAGCAAACAGGAUUAGAUACCCUGGUA